This 887-nucleotide ribosomal RNA is filed under the name uncultured bacterium. Its description in RNAcentral is "bacterial SSU rRNA". It matches the Rfam family "Bacterial small subunit ribosomal RNA", at positions 21 to 902 of the family's 1533-position model. The record is from RNAcentral.
GGCUCAGAACGAACGCUGGCGGCACGUUUUAAGCAUGCAAGUCGAAUGGCAGCAGGGGCAACUCUGUGAGAAUGGCGAACGGGUGAGUAACACGUAGGUGAUCUGCCUUGGGGAUGGGGAUAGCUUAUGGAAACACAGGGUAAUACCGAAUGAGCAGUCUUGGCUUUGGCUGAGAUUGGAAAGGUGCUACGGCACCGCCCUGAGAGGAGCCUGCGGCUGAUUAGCUAGUUGGUGGGGUAAAGGCCUACCAAGGCGACGAUCAGUAGCCGGCCUGAGAGGGUGUACGGCCACACUGGAACUGAGACACGGUCCAGACUCCUACGGGAGGCAGCAGCUAAGAAUCUUCCGCAAUGGGCGAAAGCCUGACGGAGCGAUGCCGCGUGAUCGAUGAAGGUCGAGAGAUUGUAAAGAUCUUUUCCUCAUGAGGAAUAAGGGCUGGAGGGAAUGCCAGUCUGAUGACGUUAGUGAGGGAAUAAGCCCCGGCUAAUUACGUGCCAGCAGCCGCGGUAACACGUAAGGGGCGAGCGUUGUUCGGAAUUAUUGGGCGUAAAGGGCACGCAGGCGGUUUUGCAAGUCUGAUGUGAAAUAUCCGGGCUUAACUCGGGGAACGCGUUGGAAACUGCAAGACUAGAGUAUUGGAGGGGGAGUCGGAAUUCCUAGUGUAGGGGUGAAAUCUGUUGAUAUUAGGAAGAACACCGGUGGCGAAGGUGGACUCCUGGCUGGAUACUGACGCUGAGGUGCGAAAGCAUAGGGAGCAAACAGGAUUAGAUACCCUGGUAGUCUAUGCUGUAAACGAUGUGCACUUGGUGUUGGGCCGAUUAGGCUCAGUGCCGUAGCUAACGCGAUAAGUGCACCGCCUGGGGAGUAUGCCCGCAAGGGGUGAACUC